AGAAUAGAAAAGAACAGCCCAGAGACUCUGCCAGUUGGCACAUUGCCAUUGUGGACGUUUGUAUCUGGUUUGCUUAGUCCAAAGCCUUCAGUUCAGACAAAGAUAGAGGAACAAAGCGACCAGGUGUUUAUCCACGAUAUCGUGGAGAAAGGCAUCGGGCUCCAUUGCCAAAAAAUGGACAGGGGGGCCCAAUGCUCGGGGCCCAAAACCACAAAUAUACAGAGCACUGGAGGAACCCAGCAACCCCAUCAGGGUAGUGCCCAGGACACAUUGUCC
RNAcentral lists this long non-coding RNA (276 nucleotides) under Marmota monax (woodchuck). The record is from RNAcentral. Lineage: Eukaryota; Metazoa; Chordata; Mammalia; Rodentia; Sciuridae.